GACGAACGCUGGCGGCGUGCCUAAUACAUGCAAGUCGAACGAACUCUGGUAUUGAUUGGUGCUUGCAUCAUGAUUUACAUUUGAGUAAGUGGCGAACUGGUGAGUAACACGUGGGAAACCUGCCCAGAAGCGGGGGAUAACACCUGGAAACAGAUGCUAAUACCGCAUAACAACUUGGACCGCAUGGUCCGAGCUUGAAAGAUGGCUUCGGCUAUCACUUUUGGAUGGUCCCGCGGCGUAUUAGCUAGAUGGUGGGGUAACGGCUCACCAUGGCAAUGAUACGUAGCCGACCUGAGAGGGUAAUCGGCCACAUUGGGACUGAGACACGGCCCAAACUCCUACGGGAGGCAGCAGUAGGGAAUCUUCCACAAUGGACGAAAGUCUGAUGGAGCAACGCCGCGUGAGUGAAGAAGGGUUUCGGCUCGUAAAACUCUGUUGUUAAAGAAGAACAUAUCUGAGAGUAACUGUUCAGGUAUUGACGGUAUUUAACCAGAAAGCCACGGCUAACUACGUGCCAGCAGCCGCGGUAAUACGUAGGUGGCAAGCGUUGUCCGGAUUUAUUGGGCGUAAAGCGAGCGCAGGCGGUUUUUUAAGUCUGAUGUGAAAGCCUUCGGCUCAACCGAAGAAGUGCAUCGGAAACUGGGAAACUUGAGUGCAGAAGAGGACAGUGGAACUCCAUGUGUAGCGGUGAAAUGCGUAGAUAUAUGGAAGAACACCAGUGGCGAAAGCGGCUGUCUGGUCUGUAACUGACGCUGAGGCUCGAAAGUAUGGGUAGCAAACAGGAUUAGAUACCCUGGUAGUCCAUACCGUAAACGAUGAAUGCUAAGUGUUGGAGGGUUUCCGCCCUUCAGUGCUGCAGCUAACGCAUUAAGCAUUCCGCCUGGGGAGUACGGCCGCAAGGCUGAAACUCAAAGGAAUUGACGGGGGCCCGCACAAGCGGUGGAGCAUGUGGUUUAAUUCGAAGCUACGCGAAGAACCUUACCAGGUCUUGACAUACUAUGCAAAUCUAAGAGAUUAGACGUUCCCUUCGGGGACAUGGAUACAGGUGGUGCAUGGUUGUCGUCAGCUCGUGUCGUGAGAUGUUGGGUUAAGUCCCGCAACGAGCGCAACCCUUAUUAUCAGUUGCCAGCAUUAAGUUGGGCACUCUGGUGAGACUGCCGGUGACAAACCGGAGGAAGGUGGGGAUGACGUCAAAUCAUCAUGCCCCUUAUGACCUGGGCUACACACGUGCUACAAUGGAUGGUACAACGAGUUGCGAACUCGCGAGAGUAAGCUAAUCUCUUAAAGCCAUUCUCAGUUCGGAUUGUAGGCUGCAACUCGCCUACAUGAAGUCGGAAUCGCUAGUAAUCGCGGAUCAGCAUGCCGCGGUGAAUACGUUCCCGGGCCUUGUACACACCGCCCGUCACACCAUGAGAGUUUGUAACACCCAAAGUCGGUGGGGUACCCUUUUAGGAACCAGCCGCCUAAGGUGGGACAGAUGAUUAGGGUG
RNAcentral lists this ribosomal RNA (1489 nucleotides) under Lactiplantibacillus plantarum. RNAcentral's name for it is "bacterial SSU rRNA". It matches the Rfam family "Bacterial small subunit ribosomal RNA". Lineage: Bacteria; Bacillati; Bacillota; Bacilli; Lactobacillales; Lactobacillaceae. The record is from RNAcentral.